UACGUAGGGUGCAAGCGUUAAUCGGAAUUACUGGGCGUAAAGCGUGCGCAGGCGGUUUGGUAAGACAGAUGUGAAAUCCCCGGGCUUAACCUGGGAAUUGCAUUUGUGACUGCCCGGCUAGAGUGUGUCAGAGGGGGGUAGAAUUCCACGUGUAGCAGUGAAAUGCGUAGAGAUGUGGAGGAAUACCGAUGGCGAAGGCAGCCCCCUGGGAUAACACUGACGCUCAUGCACGAAAGCGUGGGGAGCAAACAGG
This 253-nucleotide ribosomal RNA is filed under the name uncultured bacterium. RNAcentral describes it as "partial 16S ribosomal RNA". It matches the Rfam family "Bacterial small subunit ribosomal RNA", at positions 524 to 776 of the family's 1533-position model. The record is from RNAcentral.